AUGAGGAAGCUGUGCCCGAACAAUGACCGCGACGACUCCCUGGACACCGUGCUGGAGGUGCCCAUCCCCGAUGAGAUGCUCGCCAACGCCCCCGGCGCCGACAAGCGCCGGGGCGGCGGUCCCAACAUGCGCGCCUGGCUCAAAACCCAGGCGUUCGACCGCGCCACCGCCGACGGGCCCGCCGCCGCCGCCGCCAACGCCGAGCUCCAGCUCUUCCUCAACGUCGUCGGCUCGCCGCUCAUCCCCUGCCCCGUCCCCCACGACCGCGCCUUCAGCCGCUCCAUCCGCGAUUCCUCCAUCCAAGCGUCGACGGCAAAGUACAUCAUGCAUCAGUACAUCGCCGCCACGGGCGGGCAGGCGGCACUGCAGGGCGUGCAGAGCAUGUACGCCGUCGGGAAGGUGAAGAUGUGCGCGUCCGAGUUCCACCUCGGCGACCAGACCGUCACCGCCGCCCAGGGACGCGCCGAGGUCGGUGGCUUCGUGCUCUGGCAGAAGUGCCCCGAGGUCUGGUACUUCGAGCUCAUCAUGGCCGGUCACAAGAUGAGCGCCGGCAGCGACGGCAAGGUCGCCUGGCGCCAGUCCGCCGCCGAGAACUCCCACGCCUCCCGCGGCCCGCCCCGCCCCCUCCGCCGGUCCCUCCAGGGUCUGGAUCCGCGGUCGAUCGCGAACCUCUUCUCCGACGCAGUAUGCAUCGGCGAGAAGGUCAUCAACGGCGAGGAGUGCUUCAUCCUGAAGCUGGAGGCGAGCGCCACGACGCUGCGGGCGCGGAGCGCGGCGGCGUUCGACAUCAUCCACCACACGGUGUGGGGAUACUUCAGCCAGCGCACGGGCCUGCUCAUCCAGCUCGAGGACAAUCACCUGCUCCGCAUGAAGUCCGGCAAGGGCGCGCGACGCAGCGAGAACAUCUUCUGGGAGACCAGCAUGGAGUCCGUCAUCAACAACUACCGCCACAUCGACGGCGUCAACAUCGCGCACGGCGGCAAAACCACCGUCACGCUCUUCCGCUAUGGCGAGGGCUCCGUCAACCACAAGAGGAAGCUGGAGGAGACGUGGACGGUGGAGGAGGCCGACUUCAACGUGAAAGGCCUCACCUCCGACUACUUCCUGCCGCCGUCAGACCUCAAGAAGGAGGGCGACGACCAGCCCGGCGGAUGA
This 1155-nucleotide ribosomal RNA is filed under the name Triticum aestivum (bread wheat). RNAcentral's name for it is "partial small subunit ribosomal RNA". The record is from RNAcentral. Lineage: Eukaryota; Viridiplantae; Streptophyta; Magnoliopsida; Poales; Poaceae.